UACUCCUACGGGAGGCAGCAGUGGGGAAUAUUGCACAAUGGGCGAAAGCCUGAUGCAGCAACGCCGCGUGAGGGAUGACGGCCUUCGGGUUGUAAACCUCUUUUAGUAGGGAAGAAGCGAAAGUGACGGUACCUGCAGAAAAAGCACCGGCUAACUACGUGCCAGCAGCCGCGGUAAU
RNAcentral lists this ribosomal RNA (178 nucleotides) under uncultured bacterium. Its description in RNAcentral is "partial 16S ribosomal RNA". It matches the Rfam family "Bacterial small subunit ribosomal RNA", at positions 334 to 524 of the family's 1533-position model. The record is from RNAcentral.